AAAGUCGUAACAAGGUCUCCGUUGGUGAACCAGCGGAGGGAUCAUUACAGAAACUUGACCAUUUGUGUCAUGGCUCUGCCAACCCCGUGAAUUUUAUAAUUGUACGUUGCUUCGGCGGCUGGAACCUCCGCGAGGGGGGGAAAACCGCCAGUAGCAUAUACGCAAACGCUCUGAAGUAAGCUCUGCGCUCCUUCUGAACAAGAAAACUUUUAACGAGUAAAAACUUUUGGCAACGGAUCUCUUGGCUCUG
This 250-nucleotide unclassified non-coding RNA is filed under the name Ascomycota sp. RNAcentral describes it as "partial contains small subunit ribosomal RNA, internal transcribed spacer 1, and 5.8S ribosomal RNA". The stretch from base 1 to 47 matches the Rfam family "Eukaryotic small subunit ribosomal RNA", at positions 1785 to 1831 of the family's 1831-position model. The record is from RNAcentral. Lineage: Eukaryota; Fungi; Ascomycota.